GGGCACAUAGCUCAGUUGGUUAGAGCGCGUCUCUGAUAAAGACGAGGUCUCAGGUUCGAAUCCUGAUGUGCCCAC
RNAcentral lists this transfer RNA (75 nucleotides) under Microgenomates group bacterium ADurb.Bin219. Its description in RNAcentral is "tRNA-Ile". It matches the Rfam family "tRNA". Rfam says of the family: Transfer RNA (tRNA) molecules are approximately 80 nucleotides in length. Their secondary structure includes four short double-helical elements and three loops (D, anti-codon, and T loops). The record is from RNAcentral.